Molecule: long non-coding RNA, 855 nt
Organism: Austrofundulus limnaeus
Lineage: Eukaryota; Metazoa; Chordata; Actinopteri; Cyprinodontiformes; Rivulidae
Exons: 3
Source: RefSeq, a predicted model, not a curated record
UGACAGGUGAUCAGAGGAGUCUGAGGAAGGAUCACAUUGGAAGCAAAGGUGUCACUUCCAGACCGGCUUUUCUCUCUUCCAGGAGGGUGUGGCACCUGGCUGUGCUAACAAAUAAAAUGAACAGAAAUAGUCUCCCUGGUCUCCCAGCAGGACAGAGUGCAGUUCCAGGGACAGGUCUCCCUUUGACUUCCACUCAGAACAGACUUCAGGUUUUCUCCCAGAGUUCCAGAGUAACACAGCAGCUUCACUCUGUUCCCUGCAGACACAGACAGGUUGUUGUUGGUGACAGUGUACACCUCCAGCUGGAUCACAGAAACAACAUCCCCGCCGCAGGAGAACUCGUACAGUCCCUUAUCGUUGUAGUUCAGAUCCUUUAAGAAAACGCCAGACGGGGAGUUCUCAACCCGGCUCGUGUAGUCUCCCUCUGGGAUCCAGACUCCUCGGACACGCUUCGCCACAGGUACUGGAGUGUCAUCGUUCAGCCUCUGAGUUAGAGUUAAAAUUGCGCAGUUCACCUGAGUUCUUGGGGAUAACUCUGCUGUCUUUGUUAAAACUCCUUUGACGAGCUCUUCAUUGAGGGAGUCAAAAAAGUAAAUAAAAUAAAAAUGGCGUAAAACACCCAGAGGAUGAUCUCCAUGUUUGCCCGGCAGUCUCUGAGCUGUAUGUGACRGAAUAAAUAUGACAGUCAGACUGAUGACAGAGCUGUUAAACUCUCCCUGCAGGCAGACAGGAGAAGAGAGUGGCAGUGAUCAGAUCACAUCAAACACUCCCCUCUGCUGGAUGAUGUGCAUCAGUCACCUGCAUGCAGCUGUACAGAUAAAACUAAAUUAUUGGGACCGCCGCAUGCGAAGCGUA